This 253-nucleotide ribosomal RNA is filed under the name uncultured bacterium. RNAcentral's name for it is "partial 16S ribosomal RNA". It matches the Rfam family "Bacterial small subunit ribosomal RNA", at positions 524 to 776 of the family's 1533-position model. The record is from RNAcentral.
UACGUAGGGGGCUAGCGUUGUCCGGAAUCAUUGGGCGUAAAGCGCGUGUAGGCGGUUCGGUAAGUCCGCUGUGAAAGUCGGGGGCUCAACCCUCGGAUGCCGGUGGAUACUGUCGGACUAGAGUACGGAAGAGGCGAAUGGAAUUCCUGGUGUAGCGGUGAAAUGCGCAGAUAUCAGGAGGAACACCGAUUGCGAAGGCAGCUCGCUGGGACGUCACUGACGCUGAGACGCGAAAGCGUGGGGAGCAAACAGG